This 374-nucleotide ribosomal RNA is filed under the name Anaplasma marginale. RNAcentral describes it as "bacterial SSU rRNA". It matches the Rfam family "Bacterial small subunit ribosomal RNA", at positions 1151 to 1525 of the family's 1533-position model. Lineage: Bacteria; Pseudomonadati; Pseudomonadota; Alphaproteobacteria; Rickettsiales; Anaplasmataceae. The record is from RNAcentral.
GCCAGUGAUAAACUGGAGGAAGGUGGGGAUGAUGUCAAGUCAGCACGGCCCUUAUGGGGUGGGCUACACACGUGCUACAAUGGCGACUACAAUAGGUUGCAACGUCGCAAGGCUGAGCUAAUCCGUUAAAGUCGUCUCAGUUCGGAUUGUCCUCUGUAACUCGAGGGCAUGAAGUCGGAAUCGCUAGUAAUCGUGGAUCAGCAUGCCACGGUGAAUACGUUCUCGGGUCUUGUACACACUGCCCGUCACGCCAUGGGAAUUGGCUUAACUCGAAGCUGGUGCGCCAACCGAAAGGAGGCAGCCAUUUAAGGUUGGGUCGGUGACUGGGGUGAAGUCGUAACAAGGUAGCUGUAGGUGAACCUGCGGCUGGAUCA